GAAUAUUGCACAAUGGGGGAAACCCUGAUGCAGCAACGCCGCGUGGAGGAAGAAGGUCUUCGGAUUGUAAACUCCUGUCUUCUGGGACGAAGUAUGACGGUACCAGAGGAGGAAGCCACGGCUAACUACGUGCCAGCAGCCGCGGUAAUACGUAGGUGGCGAGCGUUGUCCGGAAUUACUGGGCGUAAAGGGCGCGUAGGCGGCCUGUUAAGUCAGAUGUGAAAACCCCGGGCUCAACCUGGGGACUGCAUUUGAAACUGAUGGGCUAGAGGGUCGGAGAGGGAAGCGGAAUUCCUAGUGUAGCGGUGAAAUGCGUAGAUAUUAGGAGGAACACCAGUGGCGAAGGCGGCUUUCUGGACGAUAACUGACGCUGAGGCGCGAAAGCGUGGGGAGCAAACAG
RNAcentral lists this ribosomal RNA (400 nucleotides) under uncultured bacterium. RNAcentral describes it as "partial 16S ribosomal RNA". It matches the Rfam family "Bacterial small subunit ribosomal RNA", at positions 359 to 775 of the family's 1533-position model. The record is from RNAcentral.